Molecule: ribosomal RNA, 252 nt
Filed under: uncultured prokaryote
Description: partial 16S ribosomal RNA
Rfam family: Bacterial small subunit ribosomal RNA
Source: RNAcentral
UACGUAGGGGGCGAGCGUUGUCCGGAUUUACUGGGCGUAAAGGGUGAGUAGGCGGUUAUAUAUGUCAGGUGUAAAAGGCUAUGGCUUAACCAUAGUUUGCACUUGAAACUGUAUGACUUGAGUGCAGGAGAGGUAAGCGGAAUUCCUAGUGUAGCGGUGAAAUGCGUAGAUAUUAGGAGGAACACCGGUGGCGAAGGCGGCUUACUGGACUGUAACUGACGCUGAGUCACGAAAGCGUGGGUAGCAAACAGG